AUGUUGUAUGGCGCGGAGUGUUGGCCGACUAAAAGGCAACAUGUUCAACAGUUAGGUGUGGCGGAGAUGCGUAUGUUGAGAUGGAUGUGUGGCCACACGAGGAAGGAUCGAGUCCGGAAUGAUGAUAUACGAGAUAGAGUUGGGGUAGCACCAAUUGAGGAGAAGCUUGUCCAACAUCGUUUGAGAUGGUUUGGGCAUAUUCAGCGCAGGCCUCCAGAAGCUCCAGUGCAUAGCAGACGGCUAAAGCACUGCAGAUGA
Molecule: ribosomal RNA, 258 nt
Filed under: Triticum aestivum (bread wheat)
Lineage: Eukaryota; Viridiplantae; Streptophyta; Magnoliopsida; Poales; Poaceae
Description: partial small subunit ribosomal RNA
Source: RNAcentral